This 1029-nucleotide long non-coding RNA is filed under the name Marmota monax (woodchuck). The record is from RNAcentral. Lineage: Eukaryota; Metazoa; Chordata; Mammalia; Rodentia; Sciuridae.
UUUUUUUUUCUUUGCAAUAUUUUUUAGAUCUGCUUCCAAAGUAUUUUAUAGUUUAAAAAGCACUUUGCACACAAUUCUUGUAUAUAAAUUAAUGAUGUAAUUAUAGGGUAUAGUGUUUUCAGGUCCACCACAAAACUGAAUAAAAAGUUCAUUGUUCCCAUACCAUUCUCCCAACACCCACAUACAACCUUUCCAACCAUCACCAUCCCCAGGUAGAGUGGUAUAUUUGUUACAAUUGAUGAAUUAACAUGGACAAAUGAUUACAUUAGGGUUCAUUCUUGGUGUACAUUCAGUAGGUUUUUACAAAUUUUAAAUUAUGUGAACCCACCUUCUAAUAGAAUACAGUCAUUUCACUACCCUAAACAUCAUCUGUGCAAGGCCUAUUCCUACCUCUCUGCUAACCCUGGGUAAACAUUGAUCUUUUUACUGUCUCAUAAGUCUUGCAUAUUUUAGAUGUCAUGUAUUUGGAAUCACCAUAUGUAGACUUUUCAGGCUGGCUUCGUUUUACUCAGUAAUAUGUACUUAUGUUUGUUUUGUUUAUUCAUGGCUUAAUAGCUCAUGUCUUUGUAUCACUGAAUAAUAUUCCAUUAUUAUGUGCCACAAUUUAUCCAUUCACCUACUGUAGGCAUCUUGAUUGUUUCCAACUUAUGAAUAAAGCUGUUAGAAAUGUAACAGUUUGUGGGGCCUCGGGUAUGGCUGAGUGGUAGAGCACCUGCCUAGGCCAUAUGAGGCACUGGGUUCCAUCCUCAGCACCACAUAUAAAUAAAUAAACAAAAUAAAGGUAUUGUAUCCAUCAACGACUAAAAAUAUAUUUUAAAAAUGUGCAGCUUUUUGUGUGAGCAUAUAUUUUUUUUUAAAUUCAAUGCUAUGUAUCUUUUUUUUAAGAGAGAGAAUUUUUUAAUAUUUAUUUAUUUUUUUUAGUUUUCGGCGGACACAACAUUUUUGUUUGUAUGUGGUGCUGAGGAUCGAACCCGGGCCGCACACAUGCCAGGCAAGCACGCUACCGCUUGAGCCACAAUCCCAGCCCGU